Long non-coding RNA from Neofelis nebulosa (Clouded leopard), 480 nucleotides. RefSeq lists it as uncharacterized. Lineage: Eukaryota; Metazoa; Chordata; Mammalia; Carnivora; Felidae. The transcript has 2 exons. The record is from RefSeq and is a predicted model, not a curated record.
CAGUGAUGCCGGCCUGUCCCCUACUUACCCCUUCUGGCUCUGAUUGUUCCUUCCACCACACUGUCCAAGAAGCGAGUCCAGCCCCUAGAAGCUGGAGUUACAGAAAGACUAACACAAAGAUGUACACUCAGUGCCGCUUUUCCUCAUAUUGAGGGAAGAAGACUGUGCUGUAUGGACAGCCUGAACGGUCUCUGUGAAUAACUGUGUGAACCAGAGAAUGGACAAGCUGAGGACUAGAAUAAAUUUUUGAAGAUGAAGUUCCUGGGGCACAGAGAGGCUGUCUCCCUGACAGAGGCUAGCGAGCUCCUCCCUUCCAUCCUCCAUCUGUGUGAGCCUUUCAACAGCUGCUCCCUGCAUUCAUGUCUCCAUCUCGGAGACUAAAAAAGCCUCAGAGAGUUUCUGUGAACUACUUGUAAGAAUUCAUCAAGGACCAGCAGGCAGUCCUGAAGUUCUGAUAAAUAAAGCAGGUCCAAGGGCAGU